Molecule: transfer RNA, 89 nt
Filed under: Streptomyces sp. ADI96-15
Lineage: Bacteria; Bacillati; Actinomycetota; Actinomycetes; Kitasatosporales; Streptomycetaceae
Description: tRNA-Ile
Source: RNAcentral
GAGGGCGGGGCGUCGCGGACCGUGCGCGGCCUGGAUCAGGCUGCGGCGGGCGCUUCCUUGACGUCCAGUUCGAAGCUGGUCGCGUUCUC